UACGUAGGUGGCAAGCGUUGUCCGGAAUUACUGGGUGUAAAGGGAGCGCAGGCGGGAAGCCAAGUCAGCUGUGAAAACUACGGGCUUAACUUGUAGACUGCAGUUGAAACUGGUUUUCUUGAGUGAAGUAGAGGUUGGCGGAAUUCCGAGUGUGGCGGUGAAAUGCGUAGAUAUUCGGAGGAACACCGGUGGCGAAGGCGGCCAACUGGGCUUUAACUGACGCUGAGGCUCGAAAGUGUGGGGAGCAAACAGG
This 253-nucleotide ribosomal RNA is filed under the name uncultured bacterium. RNAcentral's name for it is "partial 16S ribosomal RNA". It matches the Rfam family "Bacterial small subunit ribosomal RNA", at positions 524 to 776 of the family's 1533-position model. The record is from RNAcentral.